Molecule: ribosomal RNA, 585 nt
Filed under: uncultured bacterium
Lineage: Bacteria
Description: bacterial SSU rRNA
Rfam family: Bacterial small subunit ribosomal RNA
Source: RNAcentral
UCCGCGCCGUAGCUAACGCAUUAAGUGCCCCGCCUGGGGAGUACGGCCGCAAGGCUAAAACUCAAAGGGAUUGACGGGGGCCCGCACAAGCGGCGGAGCAUGCGGAUUAAUUCGAUGCAACGCGAAGAACCUUACCAAGGCUUGACAUGGGCUGGAUUGCUUCGGAGACGGGGUUUCCCUUUUUGGGCUGGUUCACAGGUGGUGCAUGGUUGUCGUCAGCUCGUGUCGUGAGAUGUUGGGUUAAGUCCCGCAACGAGCGCAACCCUUGUCUCGUGUUGCCAGCACGUUGUGGUGGGGACUCGCGGGAGACUGCCGGGGUUAACUCGGAGGAAGGUGGGGAUGACGUCAAAUCAUCAUGCCCCUUAUGUCUUGGGCUUCACGCAUGCUACAAUGGCCGGUACAGUGGGUUGCGAUGCUGUGAGGCGGAGCGAAUCCCUGAAAGCCGGUCUCAGUUCGGAUCGGUGUCUGCAACUCGACACCGUGAAGUUGGAGUCGCUAGUAAUCGCAGAUCAGCAGCGCUGCGGUGAAUACGUUCUCGGGCCUUGUACACACCGCCCGUCACGUCAUGAAAGCUGGCAACACCCG